GGGAAUAUACAUAAAGAGAAAUACAUAGAGAGGUAAAUGGAAGAAGAAAGUAGAGAAGAAAAGUCACAAGCAGUUACCAAAAAAAGAGAGAGAGUAAAGAUUAAGGAGAAGAAAGGUGGUAGGAAAGAUCACACUGUGCUAUAAAGGCAAUGAAGUCUUCCACUUUACUACUUUCAAGUAAAUUUCUCCUCUUUGUCUUGAAUUUGAAUUUUCCGCUUCACUGAGUCCAAAAUAGCUUUCCUCUAGC
Molecule: long non-coding RNA, 247 nt
Filed under: Phoenix dactylifera (date palm)
Lineage: Eukaryota; Viridiplantae; Streptophyta; Magnoliopsida; Arecales; Arecaceae
Description: long non-coding RNA (PDAC_LNC006440)
Source: RNAcentral